AGCGAACGCUGGCGGCAGGCUUAACACAUGCAAGUCGAACGGGCGUAGCAAUACGUCAGUGGCAGACGGGUGAGUAACGCGUGGGAACAUACCUCUUGGUUCGGAACAACACAGGGAAACUUGUGCUAAUACCGGAUAAGCCCUUACGGGGAAAGAUUUAUCGCCGAGAGAUUGGCCCGCGUCUGAUUAGCUAGUUGGUAGGGUAAUGGCCUACCAAGGCGACGAUCAGUAGCUGGUCUGAGAGGAUGAUCAGCCACAUUGGGACUGAGACACGGCCCAAACUCCUACGGGAGGCAGCAGUGGGGAAUAUUGGACAAUGGGCGCAAGCCUGAUCCAGCCAUGCCGCGUGAGUGAUGAAGGCCCUAGGGUUGUAAAGCUCUUUUGUACGGGAAGAUAAUGACGGUACCGUAAGAAUAAGCCCCGGCUAACUUCGUGCCAGCAGCCGCGGUAAU
RNAcentral lists this ribosomal RNA (452 nucleotides) under uncultured bacterium. Its description in RNAcentral is "bacterial SSU rRNA". It matches the Rfam family "Bacterial small subunit ribosomal RNA", at positions 29 to 524 of the family's 1533-position model. The record is from RNAcentral.